GUGCCUCUUCGGCAGCACGUGCACUAAAAUUGGGACGAUGCAGAGAUCAGCAUGGCCCCUGCGCAGGGGUGACACCCACAUCCCUGGAGCGCUCCGUGUUCUU
This is a small nuclear RNA of Pteronotus mesoamericanus, 103 nucleotides long. The record is from RefSeq and is a predicted model, not a curated record. Lineage: Eukaryota; Metazoa; Chordata; Mammalia; Chiroptera; Mormoopidae.